Xiphophorus hellerii (green swordtail) is the source of this 194-nucleotide long non-coding RNA. RefSeq lists it as uncharacterized. Lineage: Eukaryota; Metazoa; Chordata; Actinopteri; Cyprinodontiformes; Poeciliidae. The record is from RefSeq and is a predicted model, not a curated record. The transcript is spliced from 3 exons.
AUGAUAAACAUGCUGAAUAGGGACAUGUCUGGAACGAUGGGCUUUGCCGAGUUCAAGGAUCUGUGCCAGGCCCUGAACGGCUGGAAAGCCACCUUUUCAUCCUUCGAUCGGGACCACAGCGGCACAGUGGAGGGCCAUGAGCUGCAGCAGGCCAUCACUACCAUGGGUAUGGACUGAUUUUAAUGAUUUUUAUU